This 562-nucleotide ribosomal RNA is filed under the name uncultured bacterium. RNAcentral describes it as "partial 16S ribosomal RNA". It matches the Rfam family "Bacterial small subunit ribosomal RNA", at positions 355 to 909 of the family's 1533-position model. The record is from RNAcentral.
UGGGGAAUUUUGGACAAUGGGGGAAACCCUGAUCCAGCCAUCCCGCGUGUGCGAUGAAGGCCUUCGGGUUGUAAAGCACUUUUGGCAGGAAAGAAACGUCGCGGGUUAAUACCCCGCGAAACUGACGGUACCUGCAGAAUAAGCACCGGCUAACUACGUGCCAGCAGCCGCGGUAAUACGUAGGGUGCAAGCGUUAAUCGGAAUUACUGGGCGUAAAGCGUGCGCAGGCGGUUCGGAAAGAAAGAUGUGAAAUCCCAGAGCUUAACUUUGGAACUGCAUUUUUAACUACCGGGCUAGAGUGUGUCAGAGGGAGGUGGAAUUCCGCGUGUAGCAGUGAAAUGCGUAGAUAUGCGGAGGAACACCGAUGGCGAAGGCAGCCUCCUGGGAUAACACUGACGCUCAUGCACGAAAGCGUGGGGAGCAAACAGGAUUAGAUACCCUGGUAGUCCACGCCCUAAACGAUGCUCAACUAGCUGUUGGGGCCUUCGGGCCUUGGUAGCGCAGCUAACGCGUGAAGUUGACCGCCUGGGGAGUACGGUCGCAAGAUUAAAACUCAAAUGAA